UACUCGGGUCGAGUUUAUCUUCAACAGUGCACCCUGGGGGUUGCUAGGGAAAAAUGUUUAAAGACCCACCCCAUCACAAGUAGGCCUGUGUGGCAAGCAUUGUCCCUGGUGCAACUGUGGAGACACAAAACAAACAGUUUAGACAUGGCAUAGCCCCAGAGCCCAACCUUAAGUAGGCACUCGCGUAUCUGCUAGUUUACUGAAUUAAUUAAACAUAUAAUCUAGUUUGAGAGAGGCAAAUGACAGAUAUGAUGUAAUUAAAAACCAAAUGCCAAACUGCAUGAUACUAACUAUAAAUAAAGGUGGAACUAUAAAUAAAGGUGGAAGAGGAAGGGGAGAUUGAAAUGGACAACAGAGCUGCAGAGGUUGUCACUGACUCGUCACAGACCCAGGGUGGCCUCCUGGCAGGGAAAAGGAGGAGACCCCUGCUGGAGGACAAAGACAAGAAGAGGAAGUGCUGCUUCCCUUGACAGCAACAUGUACUGAGUUCACUGUAGGGCAUGGGAUGAACUGCUGCUCUAAGUAUUACUGGGCGAGAAAACAGAGACUAGUCCUCAAAGUCAUCCACUCAGAAACCAUCUACACUGAGCACACAGCCAAGGAAUCAAAGUUCACUUUCAGAUCAAAGGGAUUCUAUUCAGUGUCAGCCAGAAGGAGAGGCAGCUGGUCCCACACCCUGUGGGCAGGAAAGCACAAAGGUACAGCCGUGCUGCAGAGCAGUCUGGAAAUACUUCUUUUUUGACCCAGAAACUCCACUUCUGGAAAUCUCUCCUAGGGAAAUCAUUAAGGACAAGCAUAGAGACCAGGCUGAGAGGGAGUUCGUCACAGUUUUACUUAUAACUGUAAAAAGCUGAAAACAACCUCCAUGUCCAAAAAUAGAGGCUUUUUAGUUAAAUAUAUUAUAGCUUAUCCAUAUAAUGAAAUGCUGUACAGCUGCUAAAAGUGUUUAUGAUCUGUAGCGAAGUGGAAAAAGCAGGUCAUAAAGCAGUGUAUGUGGUAUAAUCUCAUUUUUAUAAAAAAAAAAAAUCACUCAUGAUAAUUAUAGAGAUCUAAAAGUAAAUGCACUAAAAUGUUAACAGAAUUUGGCUCUGCGUAGACCAGGUGACGGAUAUUUUUAUGUUCUUUUUGACUGGUCUGUAUUUCUGAUUUUUAUAUAAUGCACACAUAUGUUGUCUCUACCAAGAACAAUAAGAUAAAAUUACAGGGGAAGGGGCACUCGAUCAACCCCAGUGAAAGCUAGAAGCCCUGCUGUCUGCCCAAGGAAAGGAGCGUUCUAGACAGGAUUGGUGGGGGAGGCUGUAGGGACAGUGAGACCAUCACAGCCAUCGGCUGCUCCCAAAUGCAGGUGUGCAUGAGGAUGGACUACACAAAUACCCUGCUGUUCAGCUCAGAUUUAAAGAUUUCAAAGCAUUUUCCCAUUUUGUCUUAUUCAGCUUUCUUAGUCAUCUGAGCAUUAUCCCCAUUUGGCAGAUAAGAAAAGCGAGACUUAGAGACUUAGAUCAAAUGGCUUAAGAUCACAGAGUGGAAACAAGGGCUCACAGCUUAUCUGACACUAGACCCUUGUCAACAGCACCCCCACUCCAAAUGAGCGUUUGUGCUCAGCUGAAAGGCAGGUCAACAAAGCAGACAGAGCAGAGAUUCCGAGGCCACAGCCCUUGAUGUGAGUCCCUCCUCACCUCGAAGUUCAGCCUCUCAGCUCCUCCCAGGGAACGCUAAUCGCUACGCAUGGGGCAGUUGCCAGAAUGAGGCGCCGUCGUCACACAGGUCAAUCCACAAGCACCACACGUGGCUCUGGGCAGGGCGGGAUCUAUGCUAACCCCCUGGAACCCCGACCUCAGGGUGGCCGAGCUCAGAGAUGGCCAUCACUAUCAGAAAGACUUCAGUCCAGGCCUAAGGCUAGACUUGGUACAGUUCUCACUGCCCAGCUCUGGCGCCAUGCCCAAGCCAGAACAGGGAAGCCUUUCCUCCCGCACGGGCCCUCCAGCCCUGGAGACUACUCUUCUCUAAAAGGCCCUAUCCCUUCAGCACGGACCCACCUGAUGAGGUCUGGUCUCAAGGAAUCACAGUCCAGUCCACGGACGGUCACCAGGCUCCUCCCCAACCAUCCCUCCUCCUUCUCCCCUGGAAGGACCGCCUCCAAGGAGAGAAGGGCACACAGGGUCCUGGGCGGCUUUGACGAGAGGGCUCCUAUUCAGAAGAGCUGAGCUGUGGACAUCUGUCAUGGACCCUCUCUCUGAUUCUCCUGGUGGGACCACGCCCCUGCAUCACAGCCUUCAGGCCACACAGAAGCCAAUCCUGGGGCAUGAGGCUGGCCACUGGAGCUAGAUCACAGAGGGAACCCCUGAUUAGAGAGAGAUGCUUCUUCUGUGGUCUACGUGCAUGGAAGUCUUUAGGGAAGAUGACAGAUCGUAAGUCAUAACCACCCACGAUCUGAAGAAUUUCCAACUCAACUUGUUCCAAGCCUUUUCCCAUGGCACUCAGAUGCCGAGGACCGGCAAGGUACGGGGAACAAACACACGGGCGAUGCAUGAUAGAAGCCCCUCAUCAAGGGACUGCGUCCCUUGUGCUGAUGUAUCUGAAGCUUGCUCUGGUAGGAGGCCCCCCGGAGACAGCGAGGAGCCCCAGGAGCAUCUUCCGAAAACACCUGUCGGUAAACAUGUUAAGUGUCCCGGUCUAACUACUUACGGUAAGCUGAAGUCCGUGAGUGGGUGAAGACACUCAGUUUCAAGCUGGGGAGAGCAAGGCUGGGAUCCAAGCCUUUUGGAGCUGGGAUCUCUGUUUAAACACUAGUGCUCAUCAGCUUUGGGGAAAAGGCAGCACUUCUGAAAAGCCUCCCUUGCGAGUUCCUUUGCCCCUUCACCCUGCCCACUGCAGAAGCGGGGUGUCUUCGUUCCUUCCUGACACCAUGUCAUGAGAUGGGAUGCUCAGCUUCUCACAGCGGGCCGUCCAUACAGAGCCCCGGGCCAGCUUUACAUGAGGCAGGCAAAAGAAGCUGGAACAUUUUCCAAGGGGAGGUCAUUAUGUAACCCGAACGCUAUCCUUCAUUGCACCUGUGCUUCUGGGAAGAGCAAGAGGUCCAUGAGCUCUGCAGACUCCAGAGAAGGGGGCGUCGUUAGGAUCGGCCCGCAGCCUCUGGCCAGGGAGGGCAGUCCAACCGAGACUCCUAAGAGUCUCCUCUCUUAGGAGCACUGGGUUUAGCAUGCUUCUUAUGAAGACAGCUGUCUGAGGAUUUUGAAUGGCUCUCACCUUUUAAAGGACGACUACUCAAAUCAACCGUCCAUUCCACUGUGAAUAGCCUUUUGUGAAAAAACCGUGAACAUGGGCCCAAUUCCAAAGACCUCUGACCUUCUGGGUCUGCCUCUGGCAGGACUGGCAAAGCACAGAGGGAGUGAUCUUGGGCCCCCUCCUCGAGCAAACCUCUCCAUCUGCCCCGGGCCACUGGGUGCUGACCAUCCUCCAACCAUCCAUAUCGCUUCCUCCCCAACUGGCACUCCGGACCUCGGUCUCUGCUUGCUCUGCCUCUAAAGAAUUCCCUCUCAACGUACCAUUCCGGGGUUCGCUCCUGGGACCACACCCUCUGCCAGACAAGGCAGAUAUAUAAAGCAACUCUCCCCUGGAAUUGGAUGUUACCUGGGGCUCCCAAAGAAGUCUAUCCAUUUGGGGGUCAUGCCCAGGAACAAAAGGAGCUAAACUUUGUUGCUUUGCCAGGCACAGUGCUAAGAACUUCAGCCCCUCAUUCCCUAUAAUCACGCUAUAAUGUAGAGACUCCUAUUACCUCUGUUUUACAGAUGAAAAACCGGAGUCCCAGGGAGGUAAAAGUCACUUGCCCAAGAUCUUAUAGCUAAUAAGUGACAAAGCUAGAGAUCAAACCUGGGCAGUCUGGCUCCAAAACACCAGGCUCUUAACCAAGACAUCAAAGGCACAAUUUCAAACCUGGGAGCAAAGGAGGAAGAGAGAAAAUGGGAGGCUCCAUGGAGCUCCCCAACACCGUGCCACCUUCUCUACCUGGCACAGAGGUCACGCAGUUUAACAGGAAGGUUUCCUACCCCCUCCUGGCCUUGCCUGCAGCUUGGUGGGCAUCAUCGGGCAAGUCCCUUCACCUUUCAGGCUCAGUGUCCCCAGUGAAAAAAGAAAGUGUUUGUAUAAGGGAUGAUUGGGAAGGCCCCGCUGACCCUCUGCCAUCAGCCCUUCUCUGUAUCCUACCGUCUGAUCUAGAAAGGAAGCUUAAUACCAGGCCACUGUUUCCAGGUUCAUAAUUUCCCUCCUCUUGGACACCAGAGCCUCAGGUCCUCCACGUCCCCUUCAUUCACCUGAAUGAAGGCUACUUCCUCCUCCCUGCCCCCUUCUACGGAUGUCAGCUGGCUGAGAGACCGAGCUCUACUGGACAUGUCUAAUCAGAGACUUACGUGAGACCCCAGUCUUCUUUUUCCCAGGCUUCUGGUGGCUAUGUAUGGUGCUAGAGUAACCUCUCUCCAGUGGGCUGUCAGCAGAACCAACAUGCACUUCUUCUGCUCACCCCAGACGUCUCCCUCUAUCCCCCCUUUCCAUGAGAUGCAGCAAGCCAGCACGCCAGCUUCAAUCACACAGACGAGGAUGGCACCCUAGUGGAUGGGGAGAAAUGAGAACCUUCGAGAACACAGCUGCCCCACCAGCUGUGACCAGCCAGUUGGUGCCAGGACUCCCUUAUAUUGGAGCCAGUGAGUUUUUGGUCUCUGUGAGACAAGAACAUAUAUACGAAGGCUGUUCAUAAAGGCCAUAUCUGGGAAGGCAAGCCACUUCUAGCUCCCACUGGCCUAUCUGUGGAAAGUCACCCCAUGUCCAGCAGGUCUAAGUCCCAAAAUAGAUGGCAGCCAUGUGUCCACUAUUCCCCAGCCUUCCCACUUGUGAAAAGAACAUCUGUGCCCACUUGGUGUCCUGGAGAUUUCAUUUGCUACUUCAAUCUGUAUCCCAGAGCAAAGAUGUCUACUCACUUGAUUAAACCAGGACUAUCAGAAGCUAAAGAGUUUCUCCAUUUCGAUUCCCACUCUCUGUUUGUCUGCUUAGAUUUACAAGAUGGAAGGAAGGAGUUGAGGGGAUCGUGGGGGGAGCUGAGAUCCACUUCGGAAGUCCCUGAUCAUGGUAAUGAACUGAAAUGUACAACCUUUCAGAAAGAAGUCCGUAUCGGCUCUAUUACAGUGUGACGUCAGCAUGCUCACAGAGGUAUUGCCCGUAAUCGGCAGGGAAGGACUCUGAAUCAUCGAGAUAUGCCCAGUAUGUCACCUACAAAGAAAACACAUCUCACCAUGCCAGGCUAGGAGUAAAGGUGUCUGGAUCACCUGAAUGACAUGAUGGGCAUCUCCGUAAAAAUGCCACCAAGGGAACUUGUACAAAUUCCACUCCAUAACUGAGCACUGAUUACAUGCCAAGUCCUGCACUGAGCUGUGAGGAUGGCAAACAAGCAAAACAAACAGCUCCUCCUUUAGAGGAACUCACAGACUGGCAGGGGCGGCUGAUACCGGGACAACUGAUGCUAGUACGAUUCUCACGUCACCUACUGAUCUACUGAGCAGUGAAUCUGACCAACUCUGAACAGGUGAGUCCCAGAGGCUGUCAGAGAAGACAGGACAUAUGAGUUGAAGGUACAGAAUUUACAGGAAGAAAUCUGGGCAAGGAGCAGGAAUGGUGGUGGAAGAAAAACAAAGGUGAGGCUGCCAAGAGGGGUCUAGUGCAAAUCAAGAGUAUCCCCUAGCGAGCUGAAUGUUUUCUACAUGAAGAAACCUCACCUGGACCAAGCAUGCUCUGAUCCACAUGCCAACAGAGCAGAAUGGUUAAGAACAUGGGCUUUAGACGGAGGCCCCUUCUGCCUCCACUAGGAGAGCGUGGGCUCUGCCUUGAGUCCUGCCUCAACCACUUCCUGGCUUCAGGACCCUGGACAGCUUAUCUAAACUGCCUGUGCCUUGGUCUUCUCAUCUGUAAAACUGGAAAGAAUAAUAGAGGCCACUUCCUAGGGUGGUGGUGAAGACUGGCUAAGAUAUCCAAAUAGAGGGCACCUAGUGGGCAUUCCAAUAACCUCAACCAGUUUCAUCUCCUUUGUCUGUAAAUUACAGGUUUGGAAGAUUUCAGAGACAGUGAAGCUCUAAUUGAUAAGGAAUGACGUUGGCUGUGGAUUCCCAAUAAGCCAAGGCUACCAUUAGCUGGCCAGGGGAAGAGCUCGUAGCCACGGCUGAAAGCACGGAUGUGGGAGUAAUACUCCCAGGCUCUGGCUGAAAACCUUGGUCUGGUCAGACCUCGGGAGACUGUGGUGGCGGGGGAAGAGGUACGCGCUGGAUGCACACCCUGGGGGCAGCUGCACUCGGCUCCAGCCCGGGCUUGCCCUUCCCUUCUUCCUGAAGAAGCCAGGAAGCCACAUUUUUAACAGGAUGGUCUCAAUUUGGCAAUGUCAGCAGCUAUUUCAAAAGCGCUGGGAAUGCUGAGCUGAUGACACCAACCCUCCCUCAGGCACUGGCAGGCUUGUGGCUCACGACGGAGUACACUGGCAUUCACUGAAUGUUUGUCCAGUCUCCAGUGGAAAGUUCUCAAGGAACUUGAAGAAGAAAGAGGAACCAAAGAGUGCUACUACACAGAAUUAGGACCAAGAGCCUCUUGAACUCCUCAGAGAGCUGGCCCGUCUUUGGGCAUCUGCACAAAUAGUAUUUUGGCUAUUGUAAGUCACUUCUUAUGGUGCCCCAUCAAACACUCAGCUUUUAUGCUCAUAUUUAGAUCAUGUUCACUAUGUGCCGGGCCUUCAAAACGUAGGAGCUUGUGGAAUCCGCAGGACAACCCAAGGAGAGCUGGACAGACAAAGAAACUGAGGCCCAGGGCCAGUACGUGGUGGCGGUGGGCAAUGGAGCAGGCAGAAGGCUAAGCUCCAGUGCUCAGAACCACCACUCUGCACCACCUCUCUCCUGGCCGGCAUCAGCUCUUGGGGCUGGGACCCCCCUAGGCUGAGAGCCACUUCCUCUGACACAAGCAACCCUUCCCUCUCCCGUAUGUGUGUGACACUGUGUGAGCCCACGGAAGCCAGCCAGGACCAGGGCUCCCGGAAGACAGCCAGCGUGUCCCAAGUGCCUCAGCACCAUGGCUGGGGGCCCACUGCUAGCCACGUAUGACGGGGGCCCAGCCCCAGCAACCAGCAACCAGCAACCCGGCCUCCUUGGCCACUUGCAGCCAUGAGACUGAGAGGGCUAUGCUGCCUACAAAGGGCUGCUGGGGCCAGUCCAUCUUAGAGCUGAUGUGAGGGCCCAAGCUCUUGCUGCGAAGUGGGCCCCAGAGCCACCCCUCCCUCCGCAACUAGCAAAACACUCCCAGCAACAGCCCACCGGGCCCCGGGUGCCCAGCGACUGCCCGAUGAAGCUUUACUCUCCUUGCAGGAUAUUGUUUCUGGCCCCAAAUCACACACAAACUCCCACAAGCCCAAGUCAUGUGAGGUGAGGAAGCAGGCAGCAGGAAGGUGGCACACAGCCCGGCACAGCCUGCAGAGCCCCCAGGACCCCUCCAGCAGCCUCAGGGGACUGUGCCCGCCAAAGCGCCAGUGCGUUCCGCCAAGAGUGACAGCGUCUUUCCCCGGGCCGCAGGGAGGUUCAGAAGAUUAAUUAGACGAACCUGGCAGAACUCGAGGUUCCCCAGGGAACUGGUUGAAUAUGUCACCCCUGACACAAAGCUCUGAAGUGUGCCUCGGGCUGGGUCUUUGUUCACCAUUGCGCAGGACAACCCAGUCAGACAGCCCACGGCACACGAGUGCCCAGGGCCCUGGCCUCCGUGCCAGCCACAGUCAGUCACAAUGCAUGGUUUGGACAGUAGGUGGCAGGAGGGAGCAGAGCUGCUUCAGAUGCUCCCUUUCUUCAGGUGGCCUUUAAAUUCAUAUUCAAAACCUCCUCCUCCUCCAGGAAGCCUUCCUGGCCCUGCCAGCCUGUGUGACCUCUCUCAUCUCUAAAAAGCUAUUAGCCAUGCCCGACUUUUACCACCUGCUGUCUUGUUUGGGGCUGAUAUUUUAAAAUAUCAUUUGAUAAACAUUUAGUAUGCACCAGGUAGCGUGGUCAGUGCUUUACAUACGUUAUUUGACUCAACCUUUAGAAUAAAUCUAUGAAGUAAAUGUGAUUAUAGCAAUUUCACAGAUGAGGAAGUCACAGCUUGGAAAGGUCAAACAAUGUGUGUGUGUCCUGCGUCUGUCGUCUUCCUCUCCGUGGGACUAUCCUCUCACGUGGGAUUGCACGCUCCUCCUGGGCAACCAGGCUGACGUUUACGCUUCCUUCUAGGCCCAGAGCCCCCAGGCGCACAACUGAACACCAGAUCACUGGCUGUUACGGUGACUGCCAUUCGCAGGGACCAAUCCACCUUUCUUCACUUAGCCCAGAGGCAGCAUUAAUGAAUAACACUGGUCAGCCACAUCGCGAAGGGGCCAUUCGACAAGAAUCCUGGCCUGUUCUGGGCAGUAUCUUAAUUAUAGAAAAGAAAAAUCCUGCUUUCAUUGCAUAUUAAUUAUCGGAACACUUUACUGGAAUUCUGCUGAGGAACUGAAGGUCUGAGGGAACGAUGUGUGGCAGGGCCCACACCAUGCGAUGUGCUGUGGGCCCAACCCCAAAGCCUUGCUGGGAGGUGCUGAGCCAGGGCACAGGGUCGGCCUGUGGGCUCCAUGCAGCAUGGCCCCGGGGGACAGCCACCCAGGAGGGAAGGCGUGGGCUCACCUUU
This is a long non-coding RNA of Mustela erminea (ermine), 8706 nucleotides long. RefSeq lists it as uncharacterized. The record is from RefSeq and is a predicted model, not a curated record. NCBI's taxonomy places the organism in Eukaryota, Metazoa, Chordata, Mammalia, Carnivora, Mustelidae. The transcript has 4 exons.